Molecule: transfer RNA, 86 nt
Filed under: Trichosporon asahii var. asahii CBS 2479
Lineage: Eukaryota; Fungi; Basidiomycota; Tremellomycetes; Trichosporonales; Trichosporonaceae
Description: tRNA-Ala
Rfam family: tRNA
About the family: Transfer RNA (tRNA) molecules are approximately 80 nucleotides in length. Their secondary structure includes four short double-helical elements and three loops (D, anti-codon, and T loops).
Source: RNAcentral
GGGGAAAUCGUCUAGUGGUAAGACACAGACUUUGCAACUCCUUCUUGCCAAUGUCUGCGACCGGUGUUCGAUUCACCGUUUCUCCA